AAUAUAGUGCCUGAAUUUAAAAGGGUAGCACUGAUACAGCUAAUAAUGUAAUUUUUUUACCUAUAUUA
RNAcentral lists this transfer RNA (68 nucleotides) under Gelasimus borealis. Its description in RNAcentral is "tRNA-Ile". The record is from RNAcentral. Lineage: Eukaryota; Metazoa; Arthropoda; Malacostraca; Decapoda; Ocypodidae.